This 490-nucleotide ribosomal RNA is filed under the name uncultured bacterium. RNAcentral's name for it is "partial 16S ribosomal RNA". It matches the Rfam family "Bacterial small subunit ribosomal RNA", at positions 30 to 507 of the family's 1533-position model. The record is from RNAcentral.
AUUGAACGCUGGCGGCAGGCCUAACACAUGCAAGUCGAACGGUAACACGAAACACCUUUCUGUUUCGGUGGCGAGUGGGGGACGGGGGGGUGAAAUCUGGGGAAAUCUCCGUUGUCGUGGGGGAAAACCUGGAAACAGUUGCUCUAAUACCGUAUAGUCUCAAGCGGUCAGAGGAGGGGCUUCGGGACUCUUGCGAUACGAUGUGCGCAGAUGGGGUUAGCUAGUAGGUGGGGUAACGGCCCACCUAGGCGCCGAUCCGUAGCUGGUCUGAGAGGAUGACCAGCCACACUGGAACUGAGACACGGUCCAGACUCCUACGGGAGGCAGCAGUGGGGAAUAUUGGACAAAGGGCGCAAGCCUGAUGCAGCCAUGCCGCGUGGGUGAAGAAGGCCUUCGGGUUGUAAAGUACUUUUGUCGGGAAAGAAGGGAGUCAGGUUAAUACCUUGGUGCAUUGACGUUACCCGAAGAAGAAGCACCGGCUAACUCCGUG